Molecule: unclassified non-coding RNA, 323 nt
Filed under: soil metagenome
Description: partial contains 5.8S ribosomal RNA, internal transcribed spacer 2, and large subunit ribosomal RNA
Rfam family: 5.8S ribosomal RNA (bases 1-120)
Source: RNAcentral
GAUGAAGAACGUAGCGAAAUGCGAUAAGUAAUGCGAAUUGCAGAAUUCAGUGAGUCAUCGAAUCUUUGAACGCACAUUGCGCCCUGUGGUAUUCCGCAGGGCAUGCCUGUUCGAGCGUCAUUUCAACCCUCAAGCUCUGCUUGGUGUUGGGCCCCGCCCGCUCGCGGCCGGCCCUAAAGACAGUGGCGGCAGCGCCUGGCUCCAAGCGUAGUACAGCUCUCGCUCUGGGGCUAGGCGGUAGCCUGCCAGAACCCCCCUUCUAUGGUUGACCUCGGAUCAGGUAGGGAUGCCCGCUGAACUUAAGCAUAUCAAUAAGCGGAGGA